This 853-nucleotide long non-coding RNA is filed under the name Homo sapiens (human). RNAcentral's name for it is "HSALNT0023143". Lineage: Eukaryota; Metazoa; Chordata; Mammalia; Primates; Hominidae. The record is from RNAcentral.
UUUCUAUUCCUUCUUAACUGAUCCUCUGCUUUGGCAAUACCAUCUUUUGGUCCCUCAGUUUCCACAUUCAGAAUCCCAUUCAGAAUGAACCAAGAGAGAAAUCUAAUCAGCCUUUUUCACAUCAACAGUCGAUGGCCUCAGGUGCUUUUAAGAAGAACCCCAUGCCAAGUGGAGGACGGUGUGAGAAAUGCAGAAUGUGAUGGGGUAACUUGGCUGUGAUGUGCCUGCUCCCAUUUGCCUUCCACCAUGACUGGAAGCUCCCUGAGGCCUCCUCCAAAGCAGAAGCUGCCAUGCUUCCUGUACAGCCUGCAGAACCGUGAGCCAAUUCAACCUCUUUUCUUUAUACAUUACUCAGUCUCAAGUAUUUCUUUAUAGCAGUGUGCAAAUGGACUAAAACAGCAUCUCAGAGAUCCCAGCCAAUCCCAGGAGCUCCAGUGCCCCAUCUCUCCAGGUGUCCCAGGCUGUAGGGACCAGCCUGAAGCCUUCCCUGACCCAGGCCUAGGCCCUACAAGAGGCCUGUGACAAGAGACCUCCUUAGCCUCUUCAGCUUCCAUUGGAAUCAACUUAGCUGCCAGGAGGCUGGAACUUUCCCCCACUCUGUUAGUUACUUGAAGGAAAGCCACCAACAUAGACAAUGGCUGCACAACACUGGAAUGGAGAAGGGUCAGCAAAACCCAAGAAAGCCUUCAAGACCCCUGCACUGCAGGACAGACACACCCAUCCUGCCACUGCCUUGAUGGCGGUGACUGCUCCAACACUGCUUACAGAUUCAGACAAAUCCGAGAGACAGCUGUCCCUGAUAUGUUCAAGACUCUGCCAGCUCAACAGGCUGUGGGAAAACCAAAGAAAUAAU